RNAcentral lists this ribosomal RNA (145 nucleotides) under Gymnodinium sp. Dino2. RNAcentral describes it as "partial 18S ribosomal RNA". It matches the Rfam family "Eukaryotic small subunit ribosomal RNA", at positions 1677 to 1821 of the family's 1831-position model. The record is from RNAcentral. Lineage: Eukaryota; Dinophyceae; Gymnodiniales; Gymnodiniaceae.
CGCUCCUACCGAUUGAGUGAUCCGGUGAAUAAUUCGGACUGCUGCAUAAUCCAGUUCCUGGGUGUAUGCGGUGGAAAGUCUAGUGAACCUUAUCACUUAGAGGAAGGAGAAGUCGUAACAAGGUUUCCGUAGGUGAACCUGCGGA